UACAGAGACUGCAAGCGUUAUUCGGAUUCACUGGGCGUAAAGGGUGCGCAGGCGGCCGUGUGUGUUAGGCGUGAAAGCCCGAGGCUCAACCUCGGAAUUGCACCUAAAACUACACGGCUAGAGUACUGGAGAGGGUAGCGGAAUUCACGGUGUAGCAGUGAAAUGCGUAGAUAUCGUGAGGAACACCAAUGGCGAAGGCAGCUACCUGGACAGUAACUGACGCUCAGGCACGAAAGCGUGGGGAGCAAAA
Molecule: ribosomal RNA, 250 nt
Filed under: uncultured bacterium
Lineage: Bacteria
Description: partial 16S ribosomal RNA
Rfam family: Bacterial small subunit ribosomal RNA
Source: RNAcentral